GACGUAGGGCGCGAGCGUUGUCCGGAUUUAUUGGGCGUAAAGAGCUCGUAGGCGGCUCGUUGCGUCGGCUGUGAAAACCCGCAGCUCAACUGUGGGCUUGCAGCUGAUACGGGCGGGCUGGAGUUCGGUAGGGGAGACUGGAAUUCCUGGUGUAGCGGUGAAAUGCGCAGAUAUCAGGAGGAACACCGGUGGCGAAGGCGGGUCUCUGGGCCGAUACUGACGCUGAGGCGCGAAAGCUAGGGGAGCGAACGGG
RNAcentral lists this ribosomal RNA (253 nucleotides) under uncultured bacterium. RNAcentral describes it as "partial 16S ribosomal RNA". It matches the Rfam family "Bacterial small subunit ribosomal RNA", at positions 524 to 776 of the family's 1533-position model. The record is from RNAcentral.